Molecule: long non-coding RNA, 308 nt
Organism: Etheostoma cragini (Arkansas darter)
Lineage: Eukaryota; Metazoa; Chordata; Actinopteri; Perciformes; Percidae
Exons: 2
Source: RefSeq, a predicted model, not a curated record
ACUAUAUGUAACUUUUAAAUCUGAAACUGUGUAAUUCUUCAUCUGAUGAUGAUAAAUGACCUUUGACAGCAAACGAGACUGACAGUGAAAAGAACACUAUUUUUUACAUAGUUUUAAUUAGUGCCUCUGCCUGGGUCCGAUUUUUUCCUACAAAGUCACAAACUGAUUUAGGGCAGGUAGACGGCACUACAGAGCACACAAUCUGAAGGGUCACAGAUUUCUUUGUAACACUGGAAAAGCCUAUGCUAGUAAGCAUUCAGCCAGGUAAAAAGUAGCAGGAUAUUUCUUUAUACAGGCCUAAUUGUAUU